RNAcentral lists this long non-coding RNA (531 nucleotides) under Nicotiana benthamiana. RNAcentral's name for it is "long non-coding RNA (NBEN_LNC030331)". The record is from RNAcentral. Lineage: Eukaryota; Viridiplantae; Streptophyta; Magnoliopsida; Solanales; Solanaceae.
UAGUAACAAAAACCAUAGAUUUAUUGUAGUGUUAUUAAAAUACUUGGAAAAGAAUGGAGAAGACAACAUUCUUCCUAAAGGUUUUCUUGGUGUCCUUUUUGCUUAUUUCGCUAGGUAAAUAAUAAUCUAGCUCUCUUUCUCUAUAUUCAUUUUUAUAGGCCACAAUUUCAACAAUAAUUUUAAAAUUUUCAAAUUCAGUAAAGUAGCAUACUAUUGACCCAAUUAAAUUUCUUAUAUAUUUUCGCCUUUAACUUUUGAAAAAGAAUUGUGCAAUUUGAGGUCUUUUUUAUAUUUAAUUAAUUAUGGCAGCUCUGGCUACUUCUUUUUCCCAAUAACUUAUUCAAUAAUGUCAAUUGGUGUUAAUUAGGACAAGCAAGCAAUGGACAUGUGUGCAAUAAGGAUGAUGACUGCAAUGAACAAAUGUAUUGCAUAUAUGGAACUCCAGCAUGUUACGUGAAAACACACAAGUGCUACUGUAAAAUUCCUUCAUAUCCACCUACUUAUAAUGAACCAGAGGAUCUCGAGAACGAU